Chlorocebus sabaeus (green monkey) is the source of this 439-nucleotide non-coding RNA. The record is from RefSeq and is a predicted model, not a curated record. Lineage: Eukaryota; Metazoa; Chordata; Mammalia; Primates; Cercopithecidae.
UCCGGUGGAGACCCAAUUGGCCCGGGCCACCGACUGCUGACGAACGGACUCUGUCAGACUGACCUGCAGGCCCGGCUAAAAGGACUACAAGCAGUACAGGCCCAAAUCUGGGCCCCCUUGGCAGAACUGUACCGGCCAGGACAUUCGCAGACCAGCCUCCCCUUCUAGGUGGGGGACUCCGUCUACGUUAGACGACACCGUUCUCAAGGACUGGAGCCUCGGUGGAAAGGACCCUACAUUGUUCUCCUGACCACACCCACAGCCAUAAAGGUUGACGGAAUCGCCACUUGGAUCCACACAUCCCACGCCAAGGCUGCUCCAGAGACGCCCGGACCACCUGGGACAUGGAGACUCCGUCGCUCCGAGGACCCCCUCAAGAUAAGACUCACUCGUACCUAACCCUUUACUUACUACUAUCCCUCCUUCCCCGCGUCGCUGA